Molecule: long non-coding RNA, 548 nt
Organism: Pantherophis guttatus
Lineage: Eukaryota; Metazoa; Chordata; Lepidosauria; Squamata; Colubridae
Source: RefSeq, a predicted model, not a curated record
GUUUUAACACAUACACAUCUUCUGGAAAACGAGAAAGCCAACCAAAGUAAUGCUGAUCUGCCUCAGGAUGAUCCACUUUUUUCCAAAUAUUUUUACAAGUGCUUCCAACCAAAUAAUGAGAUGCUGAAAUUGAAGCACUUUCAUAAUGUUGUUUACCAAGGAAGAUGAUAGCAUGGAGGACAAAACAUCCCUGUUGCCGAGUUUUCCACUUUUCCAAGUUUCCUUCCUCGUUGGAGAGGUGAAAAACCUAUAAAGAAGGGACUGACGACUGGUCAGUCAGCAGUGUGUUCCACAAGGCAUCCGUUUAUGCAUUAGACACUUUGAAGGAAAUAAAAACAGCGGGCAUUUUUGAAUGGAGAAGCUACAAACCCAGGAAGAAUUCAGCCACAGUUGUGGAAAACUGCAUUUCCUCAAGGACAAUCUGUUGGGGAUUGCAUGGCACGAGCUUGAAGACCUGGCUCUGCCAGAUGACUCGGGACUCUAACAUGGAACAUCACAUUGGAGGUGGCCGUUGAAUUAAAAUAAAUUCAACAAAUAAAAAAGGUACA